This 695-nucleotide long non-coding RNA is filed under the name Trifolium pratense (red clover). Its description in RNAcentral is "long non-coding RNA (TPRA_LNC008401)". The record is from RNAcentral. Lineage: Eukaryota; Viridiplantae; Streptophyta; Magnoliopsida; Fabales; Fabaceae.
UCAAAACUAAGGUUAUAAUAUUGAAAAUAAUAAGUCUGAAAACCAAAAUCAAGAGUGGUACACAAAAGAAAAAUAAAUUUUCUUCAUACUUUAAUUUCCCUUUCUCUAACAUCCAUGCUUUUGUUAUGGUAUACAAUUUAAUUUAAAGAAAAAUGGCACUCAUUCUGUACAAUUUAAUUUAAAUAAAAAUGACACUCCUCCUUAGGAAUAUUCAUUUUGUGUCUCAAUCUCUGCUCAGGUUCAGUACCUUUCUUCAGCUUUUUAUCCUUUACAUUUUCAUCAUCAUCCAAACUUCCUUCCCCCUCAGUUUUGUUAUGUUGCUUCUUUUCUUUUCAUUUCCUUUUGCCUCUUCCAUUUCCCCCCUCAGUUGUCUAAAACUACGCGAUGAUGAAGCUUUUGAGUCAUCCGACUGUGAUAGUCCAAGGCUGAAGGUUGAUAGAAAAUCUACCACCUUAGAUUUUUCAAUCUGCAUCAAUGAAAAUCAUUCCCACAUCAAAAAAACCAAAAAUAUAACAAAUGAAAAUGAAACACAAUGAAAUCCCACAAGUCAAAUAAAUUUCAAUCAAUAAGAUAAUCAAUACUGCACAACAAAAAAUCCAACCCAUGGCAGAACAACACUACUCAGAGAACACAUUCACUAUACAUUGAUUUAUGUCAUUCCAUAUAAACAAAGCUAAAGGGAAAAACUAUUAACC